Molecule: ribosomal RNA, 472 nt
Filed under: uncultured bacterium
Lineage: Bacteria
Description: bacterial SSU rRNA
Rfam family: Bacterial small subunit ribosomal RNA
Source: RNAcentral
GGGCUCACACAAGCGGUGGAGCAUGUGGUUCAAUUCGAAGCAACGCGCAGAACCUUACCUGGGCUUGACAUGCUUGGAUUAUCCCUAUGAAAGUAGGGUACGCCCUUCGGGGUGGAACAAGUACAGGUGCUGCAUGGCUGUCGUCAGCUCGUGUCGUGAGAUGUCGGGUUAAGUCCCUUAACGAGCGAAACCUUUGCCCUUAGUUACCAUCGAGUAAAGUCGGGGACUCUAAGGGGACUGCCGGUGUCAAACCGGAGGAAGGUGGAGAUGACGUCAAGUCCUCAUGGCCUUUAUGCCCAGGGCUACACACGUGCUACAAUGCGGUGCAUAAAGCGAACCGAGAGCGCAAGCUGGAGGAAAUCGCACAAAUCACCGCCCAGUUCAGAUCGGAGGCUGCAACUCGCCUCCGUGAAGUUGGAAUCGCUAGUAAUCGCGGAUCAGCUACGCCGCGGUGAAUGUGUUCCUGAGCCUU